AUACUUACCUGGGCGGGGUCAAUCGGUGAACAGAAAGGCCGAUGGCCUAGGGCGGCCGCUUCCAUUGCACUUGGGUGGUGGGUCACCCUAGCAUCUCUCCAAUGUGGGAGACUGCACGUCAUAAUUUGUGAAAGGGGGGUACGCGUUCGCGCGGCCCCCAC
RNAcentral lists this small nuclear RNA (161 nucleotides) under Amborella trichopoda. RNAcentral's name for it is "snRNA U1". It matches the Rfam family "U1 spliceosomal RNA". Rfam says of the family: U1 is a small nuclear RNA (snRNA) component of the spliceosome (involved in pre-mRNA splicing). Its 5' end forms complementary base pairs with the 5' splice junction, thus defining the 5' donor site of an intron. There are significant differences in sequence and secondary structure between metazoan and yeast U1 snRNAs, the latter being much longer (568 nucleotides as compared to 164 nucleotides in human). The record is from Rfam by way of RNAcentral. Lineage: Eukaryota; Viridiplantae; Streptophyta; Magnoliopsida; Amborellales; Amborellaceae.